GAUCAUGGCUCAGGAUGAACGCUGGCGGCGUGCCUAAUACAUGCAAGUCGAACGCUUCACUUCGGUGAAGAGUGGCGAACGGGUGAGUAAUACAUAAGUAACCUGGCACCUACAGGGGGAUAACUGAUGGAAACGUCAGCUAAGACCGCAUAGGUGUAGAGAUCGCAUGAACUCAAUAUGAAAAGUGCUACGGGACUGGUAGAUGAUGGACUUAUGGCGCAUUAG
This 225-nucleotide ribosomal RNA is filed under the name uncultured bacterium. Its description in RNAcentral is "partial 16S ribosomal RNA". It matches the Rfam family "Bacterial small subunit ribosomal RNA", at positions 15 to 244 of the family's 1533-position model. The record is from RNAcentral.